Non-coding RNA from Silurus meridionalis, 469 nucleotides. Lineage: Eukaryota; Metazoa; Chordata; Actinopteri; Siluriformes; Siluridae. The record is from the annotation of a RefSeq genome assembly.
GCUUCAUGAACAUUUAUGAUGCUACAGAGUGCAGAAAGUUCAGUAUAGUUUCAUUCAGCUAAGAGCAUUUAUCAUGUUCACUAUCAUUUUCAUGUGUCUGUGGCUUUCAAUAGGUGACUCCAUGGCGGAUUCAAUAAAGUCACUUCUUACUCAUAAAGUUGUAGAUGAAGGUGAUGAUGUUACUCUGUCCUGCAGCUACAAAGACUUUAGUGGUUCUGUAGGGAAUCUGCAGUGGUACAAACAAGAUCCAAAAUCUAAUCCUGAGUUCAUUCUUUAUAUUUAUGAAAGUGGAGCUUUAAGUCCCAACAUCCCACCAAGAACGAGUGCUAAAGUUCAUGGAAAUAAACAAGUGGAUCUGCACAUCUCCUCUGCUGCUGUAUCAGACUCUGCACUGUACUACUGCGCUCUGACGCCCACAGUGACAGGAAACCCAACUCCACUGUACAAAAAGCAUUACACAAUUUUAUAA